GUGAACGCUGGCGGUAGGCCUAACACCUGCAAGUCGAACGGCAGCACAGUAAGAGCUUGCUCUUACGGGUGGCGAGUGGCGGACGGGUGAGGAAUACAUCGGAAUCUACUUUUUCGUGGGGGAUAACGUAGGGAAACUUACGCUAAUACCGCAUACGACCUACGGGUGAAAGCAGGGGAUCUUCGGACCUUGCGCGAUUGAAUGAGCCGAUGUCGGAUUAGCUAGUUGGCGGGGUAAAGGCCCACCAAGGCGACGAUCCGUAGCUGGUCUGAGAGGAUGAUCAGCCACACUGGAACUGAGACACGGUCCAGACUCCUACGGGAGGCAGCAGUGGGGAAUAUUGGACAAUGGGCGCAAGCCUGAUCCAGCCAUACCGCGUGGGUGAAGAAGGCCUUCGGGUUGUAAAGCCCUUUUGUUGGGAAAGAAAAGCAGCAGGUUAAUACCCCGCUGUUCUGACGGUACCCAAAGAAUAAGCACCGGCUAACUUCG
This 489-nucleotide ribosomal RNA is filed under the name uncultured bacterium. RNAcentral describes it as "partial 16S ribosomal RNA". It matches the Rfam family "Bacterial small subunit ribosomal RNA", at positions 29 to 505 of the family's 1533-position model. The record is from RNAcentral.